This 94-nucleotide transfer RNA is filed under the name Armillaria novae-zelandiae. Its description in RNAcentral is "tRNA-Gly". It matches the Rfam family "tRNA". Rfam says of the family: Transfer RNA (tRNA) molecules are approximately 80 nucleotides in length. The record is from RNAcentral. Lineage: Eukaryota; Fungi; Basidiomycota; Agaricomycetes; Agaricales; Physalacriaceae.
GCAUCAGUGGUGUAAUGGUUAACAUGUGGUCUUCCCAUCAUCAUAGCGAAACUUUCCAGUGGCCGCGUUCGGGGUUCGAUUCCCCGCUGAUGCA